Molecule: long non-coding RNA, 658 nt
Filed under: Apteryx rowi (Okarito brown kiwi)
Lineage: Eukaryota; Metazoa; Chordata; Aves; Apterygiformes; Apterygidae
Description: lncRNA (ENSARWG00000017633.1)
Source: RNAcentral
CGGACCUCGUAGUUCCUGGGGAGCGGCCGGCGGCGCGACCUGCCAUUUUGCGCGUUGGCGUGGGGCAUGCCGGGGCUCGUAGUCCCAGAGGAGGACGGCAAGCCUCCAUCUUGUAGCGCCAGGCUGGGAUGGAGGCGACGCGCGGUGCAGGCCCGGCUGCCGCACACGGUCCCGAAGGCAGGCGGCCGCUACAGGCUUGGCCUGAACAGCUGCCGUUGUCAGCUUGCCCGCACACCGGCUUUGCACGAACCUUGCACUGCUAAGAAACAUUCCCAGAGAAGCGUGCGCAAAAGCACCUUGUGCCUAAGGAAUCUUCCAUCCCAGGGCACCGUGCCAGGCAGGAAUGCUUUUCUCCGUGUUUCGGCCUACGCUACAAGCGGAGCAUUACGAAGCCGACCCUCCGCCGGAGGCAGCCUUGCACGCGCAGCCAGCAGCGGCAGGGCGCAGCUCGCGCGAGCUGGGCUGCCUCUGCCCGGGCUCCAGGUGUGCGCUCAGUGCCCGAGACCGUGUGAAAUCGCGGCUGGUCGCGGGAUCCUCACGCCUCAGAGGCUGCAGGAUCGCCUUUCCUAUCGCUGCAGUUUUGCUAGAGCAGAAUUUGGCUGGCUGCCUCCUGUCUCAAGUUUAAUCGCCCAGGCAAGGCGCAGCUGCCUUGGACUGG